UUUGGUUGGCUGAUACACGAGAAUCACCCGUACAACUCACCACCAGAACCAUUGGGCAUGUCAAAAACGAUGAUCAUGAAGCCAACAGCAACACUGGUUAAUUCAACACACAGUUUGAUAAGCAGCAAACCGGUGUACACAUGUGGAGGCUGCGGUGCAACACUUCAAGUUUGCCAGGAAGCGGAAUAACAGUACAAUUGACAUCACACCACACAGACCAAACAACAAUUCUUCAGGAAAAACCGCUGAUGUUGAGAUUCUUGAAUCAGUGAAAAUCUGGUGCCAUGUAAUUAAGUACAGGUUAUACUUCAAGCUUUCUCGAUCUGUUUGCAGGCGAAUAGUUUGACUCGAUGAGGGAUAUAAUCUGUUUUUUAUUAUUUGAUUUGGCUGAUGACCCAUGUUCAAGGAUGACUUAUGUUUCAGACUAUACAAAGAUUGCCUUUUCGUUAUCAUAAGAUCUCAAUGCACCUAACGACAACAACCAUCAUUGAGCCAUCACAUUCUUUCCCUUUACAUUUCAGGCAGGUUGGGUAUUGAGAUCAAGAAAUUUAGCGCCACUUGCAGAUAUGGUUUCAAGAUCAAUAUUUGGCUUGAAACAGAGACAGAGGACUUUUGUUUUUGAAUGUUUUGUAGAUUUCUAAAUGUUUGGACUUUGGUUUCAAGGUCAACAAUUGUCAAUUUUUGAAUGUUUGGAAACACUUGCAGAAUUUAA
This 712-nucleotide long non-coding RNA is filed under the name Helianthus annuus (common sunflower). The record is from RNAcentral. Lineage: Eukaryota; Viridiplantae; Streptophyta; Magnoliopsida; Asterales; Asteraceae.